CUCAGGUACUGAAUCACCUGUCGCAGAUCACCGCAAACAGACGACGAUGAAGCCAUUGCGGUCAACGGCGUUCCGGCCACUCCACGUCGAUUCCAGAUCACCGGCUGAUGUCCCUGGUGAACAAGCGAUCGACAAACGGCCUGAAUCAACGGGGAUGCCAUUCGAGGCAGCAGUUGUAUCCAGUCAAGAGAAACCAGACCACCAUCUUCCAUCAGGAGGUAUUCACGUAAAAAACGAACUUGACCCGUCCAUCGAGUACAAGUUUGAGUGGCUAUUGUAGCCACCAAAAUGAGCAAUGCCCGCCAGCUACCGGUCACUAGAGUCCAGCAACCGGGAACGGUGUAAGCGGCUCGUAGAGCAGGUAACGUGCUGAUUAAUCUCUCGGACAAAGAAGAAGGACGAUAAUGCAAGGACGGAUAAACCGGAUCGCCCUGUUCCAGGACGAAGAACACCAAAAGUCGGAGUAGAGCGACAGACAAGAGGCAGCCCAUCAUUACAAUUAGGAAUGGCCUGAAAAUCGUGCUGAUGAAAGGCAGGACGACUUCCAUCAGUGUCUCCAUUUUUCCGAAAUGAUUGCCAAUUUGGAUGAUAUACGAUUCAAAACGGAAUCGGAUGAACAAGAAUCCUAAGUCAUUUCAAUGUUCCCGUUAGAUUAAACAAGGCAACUGAUAUCAAUAAUGACAUGUUAAGCAUAUGCGUACAAAAAACGCAGUGAAAACAAAAGAAGAAGAACAAAAAAAUUAUCAAGUUCCAAUCGAGAUGUCCUUGUUCUCCGUUGUUCUCUUCCAACUUAUAUUGUUACACCAUUCCACAUCCCCCCCCUCGUUAAAGAGGAAAAAUUUGCAUAUUAUAAAAAAGACAAAUGAAUAAAUAAUCAAAGGCCUA
Long non-coding RNA from Daphnia magna, 885 nucleotides. RefSeq lists it as uncharacterized. The transcript has 2 exons. Lineage: Eukaryota; Metazoa; Arthropoda; Branchiopoda; Diplostraca; Daphniidae. The record is from RefSeq and is a predicted model, not a curated record.